This 460-nucleotide ribosomal RNA is filed under the name uncultured bacterium. RNAcentral describes it as "partial 16S ribosomal RNA". It matches the Rfam family "Bacterial small subunit ribosomal RNA", at positions 338 to 795 of the family's 1533-position model. The record is from RNAcentral.
CCUACGGGGGGCAGCAGUGAGGAAUAUUGGUCAAUGGCCGCAAGGCUGAACCAGCCAAGUCGCGUGAAGGAAGACGGAUCUAUGGUUUGUAAACUUCUUUUAUAGGGGAAUAAAGGUAUCUACGCGUGGAUAUUUGCAUGUACCCUAUGAAUAAGCAUCGGCUAACUCCGUGCCAGCAGCCGCGGUAAUACGGAGGAUGCGAGCGUUAUCCGGAUUUAUUGGGUUUAAAGGGUGCGUAGGUGGUUUUUUAAGUCAGCGGUGAAAGUUUGUGGCUCAACCAUAAAAUUGCCGUUGAUACUGGACGACUUGAGUGUAUUUGCGGUAGGCGGAAUGCGUGGUGUAGCGGUGAAAUGCAUAGAGAUCACGCAGAACUCCGAUUGCGAAGGCAGCUUACUAAGCCAUAACUGACACUGAAGCACGAAAGCGUGGGGAGCAAACAGGAUUAGAUACCCGGGUAGUC